RNAcentral lists this ribosomal RNA (481 nucleotides) under uncultured bacterium. RNAcentral describes it as "partial 16S ribosomal RNA". It matches the Rfam family "Bacterial small subunit ribosomal RNA", at positions 30 to 505 of the family's 1533-position model. The record is from RNAcentral.
GUGAACGCUGGCGGCAGGCCUAACACAUGCAAGUCGAGCGGCAGCGGGUCCUUCGGGAUGCCGGCGAGCGGCGGACGGGUGAGGAAUGCAUCGGAAUCUGCCCUGUCGUGGGGGAUAACCUAGGGAAACUUAGGCUAAUACCGCAUACGACCCACGGGUGAAAGCGGGGGAUCGCAAGACCUCGCGCGAUUGGAUGAGCCGAUGUCCGAUUAGCUAGUUGGCGGGGUAAAGGCCCACCAAGGCGACGAUCGGUAGCUGGUCUGAGAGGAUGAUCAGCCACACUGGGACUGAGACACGGCCCAGACUCCUACGGGAGGCAGCAGUGGGGAAUAUUGGACAAUGGGCGCAAGCCGGAGCCAGCCAUGCCGCGUGGGUGAAGAAGGCCUUCGGGUUGGAAGGCCCUUUUGUCCGGGAAGAAAUCGUCUGGGCUAAUACCCCGGGCGGAUGACGGUACCGGAAGAAUAAGCACCGGCUAACUUCG